GAUGAAGAACGCAGCGAAAUGCGAUACGUAAUGUGAAUUGCAGAAUUCAGUGAAUCAUCGAAUCUUUGAACGCAUAUUGCGCUCUUUGGUAUUCCGAAGAGCAUGCUUGUUUGAGUAUCAGUAAACACCUCAAAACUUUUGAUUUUUUUUUAAAAAAAAAAGGUUUUGGACUUGAGCAAUCCCAACACCAAUCUUUUUUAGAUCGGUGGCGGGUUGCUUGAAAUGCAGGUGCAGCUGGACAUUCUCCUCAGCUAAAAGCAUAUUUAUUUAGUCCCGUCAAACGGAUUAUUACUUUUGCUGCAGCUAAUAUAAAGGGAGUUUGACCGUAUUGGCUGACUGAUGCAGGAUUUCACAAGGGUCGGCAACGAUUCUUGUAAAACUCGAUCUCAAAUCAAGUAAGACUACCCGCUGAACUUAAGCAUAUCAAUAAGCGGAGGA
RNAcentral lists this unclassified non-coding RNA (438 nucleotides) under soil metagenome. Its description in RNAcentral is "partial contains 5.8S ribosomal RNA, internal transcribed spacer 2, and large subunit ribosomal RNA". The stretch from base 1 to 120 matches the Rfam family "5.8S ribosomal RNA", at positions 35 to 154 of the family's 154-position model. The record is from RNAcentral.